RNAcentral lists this long non-coding RNA (959 nucleotides) under Mytilus galloprovincialis (Mediterranean mussel). The record is from RNAcentral. Lineage: Eukaryota; Metazoa; Mollusca; Bivalvia; Mytilida; Mytilidae.
UUUUUCUCAGUGAGGUUUGACAAAUAUUUUUAUUCGAAGCACAAUCAAUAAUUGCGUGGACAAACCCGAAAACUGCUAAAGGCAUAUUAGGUAAGUGAAAUAAUACCAAACAGACAUGGAAUAGCAAACUUCACUACAUUUGUGGUUUCUUUCAUACAUUGACAUUUUGAAUAGUUUUUUAUAUUACAAAUGACGUACAGUUAAUAUCUUUAUAGUGCUUUUAUGACGUUCCUGCAUGAAAUACUGGCUGAAAAUAAAAAUAAAACAAUUAGCAGACUCCAACUCCUGUACCAAGUCAGGAAUAUGGCAGUUUUAUCCAUUCGUUUUAUGUGUUUGAGCUUUUGAUUUUGACAUGUGAUUAAAGAAAAGUAAAAGCAUAAAAAUACUGAACUCCGCGAAAAAUUCAAAAAGGUAAGUCCCUAAUUAAAUGGCAAAAUCAAAAGCUCAAACACAUCAAACGAAUGAAUAACAACUGUCAUAUUCUUGACAUAAUACAGGCAUUUUUCUUAUGUAGAAAGAUGGUGGAUUGAAAAUGGUUUCAUAUCUAGUUAAACCUCUCACUAGUAUGACAGUCGAAUCAAAUUGUAUUGAAUACGAUGCGUGAACAAAUCAAACAGACACAAUAGGAAAAGAUUUCAAAAUAUUGGUACAGCGGUCAACACUGUGUUAUUUUUUAUCUUUAUAAAAUCAAACAAAUCUAACAAAGAAGCAUAAAAAGGCAAACAUCAAAUUUAACAACCUACAUGCAAUUUUGCUUUUUAUAAUACGUUUUUAUUUAUCUAUAUAAAAUCCACCCAUAAAGGAUUGGAAGAAUUUAAGUAAUGGGGCCGAAUCUUAACAUUGACAGACACAUGGUUAGAAUAACAUAACUCUGACAUAGAACCGUGCGUUUGUAGUCACACAGGUAGAUAGACAAUAUUUUAGUCGUUCAAAGUAUGACGGGACGCAUAAAUACAGGG